Unclassified non-coding RNA from Pongo abelii (Sumatran orangutan), 148 nucleotides. It matches the Rfam family "Metazoan signal recognition particle RNA". Rfam says of the family: The signal recognition particle (SRP) is a universally conserved ribonucleoprotein. It is involved in the co-translational targeting of proteins to membranes. The eukaryotic SRP consists of a 300-nucleotide 7S RNA and six proteins: SRPs 72, 68, 54, 19, 14, and 9. The record is from Ensembl. Lineage: Eukaryota; Metazoa; Chordata; Mammalia; Primates; Hominidae.
GCUGGGUGUGGUGGCGCAUGCCUGUAAUCCCAGCUAUGCGGGAGGCUGAGGCAGGAGAAUCGCUUGAACCCGGGAGGUGGAGGCUGCAGUGAACUGAGAUUGUGCCACUGCACUCCAGCCUGGGUGACAGAGUGUGACUCUGCCUCAA